GUGAGGUAACGGCUCACCAAGGCGAUGACGGGUAGCUGGUCUGAGAGGAUGAUCAGCCUCACGGGGACUGAGACACGGCCCCGACUCCUACGGGAGGCAGCAGUGGGGAAUUUUGGACAAUGGGCGAAAGCCUGAUCCGGCGACGCCGCGUGCGGGAGGAAGCCCUUCGGGGUGUAAACCGCUGUCAGGGGGGAAGAACAGGUUGGGGCGAACAGCCUCAGCCGCUGACGGUACCCCCAGAGGAAGCGCCGGCUAACUCCGUGCCAGCAGCCGCGGUAAUACGGAGGGCGCAAGCGUUGUCCGGAAUCACUGGGCGUAAAGGGGGCGCAGGCGGCUUGGUAAGUCCUAUGUGAAAUCCCACGGCUCAACCGUGGAAUGCCAUAGGAUACUGCCGAGCUUGAGACGGGUAGAGGCGAGUGGAAUUCCCGGUGUAGCGGUGGAAUGCGUAGAUAUCGGGAAGAACACCAGCGGCGAAGGCGGCUCGCUGGGCCCGUUCUGACGCUCAGGCCCGAAAGCGUGGGGAGCAAACAGGAUUAGAUACCCUGGUAGUCCACGCCGUAAACGCUGGGCACUAGAUGCUGGGAAGUGUGACCUUUUCGGUGUCGUAGCUAACGCGUUAAGUG
RNAcentral lists this ribosomal RNA (623 nucleotides) under uncultured bacterium. RNAcentral's name for it is "bacterial SSU rRNA". It matches the Rfam family "Bacterial small subunit ribosomal RNA", at positions 252 to 866 of the family's 1533-position model. The record is from RNAcentral.